AGGGGUUGAUCAUGGGUGAGAACGAACGCUGGCGGCGUGCCUAACACAUGCAAGUCGGACGGAGUGUAUUAGGUAGUAAUAUUUAGUGCACUUAGUGGCGCACGGGUGAGUAACACGUAGGCAACCUAUCCUUAGGAGGGGGAUAACUCAGGGAGACUUGAGCUAAUACCGCAUAAGAACCAGGGACUGGGAUGUUAGUGGGUAAAAGGAGGUUCCUACUUAAGGAGGGUUUUGCGGCCAAUCAGGAAGUUUGGGAGGCAAUGCCUCACCAAGCCUAUGACGGGUAGCCGGUCUGAGAGGACGGACGGCCACACUGGAACUGAGACACGGUCCAGACUCCUACGGGAGGCAGCAGUGGGGAAUAUUGCACAAUGGGCGGAAGCCUGAUGCAGCGACGCCGCGUGGAGGAAGAAGGCCUUCGGGUUGUAAACUUCUUUUGUAGGGGAAAAUAGUGAUGGUACCCUAUGAAUAAGCCACGGCUAACUCUGUGCCAGCAGCCGCGGUAAGACAGAGGUGGCGAGCGUUGUUCGGAAUUACUGGGCUUAAAGGGCGCGUAGGUGGUGGUAUAAGUCUGAGGUGGAAUUCUGCGGCUUAACCGUAGGAUUGCCUUGGAGACUGUAUUUACUUGAGUCGGGACCCGGGCGGGGACGGGGAUUUCCGGUGUAGCGGUGAAAUGCGUAGAUAUCAGGAAAAAAGGCCUGUGGCGAAGCGCGCCUUCUGGGGCCUGGACGGCCACUGAGGGCGGAAAAGCUGGGGGAGCCACCGGGAUAGAUACCCUGGAAUUCCACGCCCUAAACGUGGGCCAUAAGGUGUGGGAUUCUGUAAGGGUUCUGUGCCGUAGCGAAAGCGUUAAAUGCCCCGCCUGGGGAGUACGGCCGCCAAGUUGAAACUCAAAGGAAUUGACGGGGGCCCGCACCAAGCGGUGGAGCAUGUGGUUUAAUUCGACGCAACGCGAAAGACCCUUACCUGGUUUGACAUGUUAGUGGUAAAGACCCGAAAGGGCGAUGACCUGUAGCAAUACAGGAGCUAACACAGGUGCUGCAUGGCUGUCGUCAGCUCGUGCCGUGAGGUGUUGGGUUAAGUCCCGCAACGAGCGCAACCCUUAUCCUCUGUUGCCUGAGAGGGCUCUCUGAGGAAACUGCCACCCCCACCAACAAGCUGGAGGAAGGUGGGGAUGACGUCAAGUCUUCUCAUGGCCCUUAUGUUCCCGGGGGGCCCCCCGGCUACAAAAGGGUUCUUCCAGAGGGGGAGGUAAACCGUGAGGUAGGAGCCCAUCCCCUAAAAGUAGUUUCCCACCCCUAAAGAUCUCAGGGGGACGGAUUUCCCCCCCCCCCGGACUGAAACGUAUAUCGGGUCAGCUACGCCGCGGUGAAUACGUUCCCGGGCCUUGUACACACCGCCCGUCACACCACGAAAGUCUGUUGUACCCGAAGUUGGUGAGCUAACCGCAAGGAGGCAGCCAUCGAAGGUAUGGCCGAUGAUUGGGGUUUUGUCGUAACAAGGUAGCCGUA
Molecule: ribosomal RNA, 1511 nt
Filed under: uncultured bacterium
Lineage: Bacteria
Description: partial 16S ribosomal RNA
Rfam family: Bacterial small subunit ribosomal RNA
Source: RNAcentral